GGGUUGUGAGGUUAAGCGACUAAGCGUACACGGUGGAUGCCCUGGCAGUCAGAGGCGAUGAAGGACGUGCUAAUCUGCGAUAAGCGUCGGUAAGGUGAUAUGAACCGUUAUAACCGGCGAUUUCCGAAUGGGGAAACCCAGUGUGAUUCGUCACACUAUCAUUAACUGAAUCCAUAGGUUAAUGAGGCGAACCGGGGGAACUGAAACAUCUAAGUACCCCGAGGAAAAGAAAUCAACCGAGAUUCCCCCAGUAGCGGCGAGCGAACGGGGAGGAGCCCAGAGCCUGAAUCAGUGUGUGUGUUAGUGGAAGCGUCUGGAAAGGCGCGCGAUACAGGGUGACAGCCCCGUACACAAAAAUGCACAUACUGUGAGCUCGAUGAGUAGGGCGGGACACGUGGUAUCCUGUCUGAAUAUGGGGGGACCAUCCUCCAAGGCUAAAUACUCCUGACUGACCGAUAGUGAACCAGUACCGUGAGGGAAAGGCGAAAAGAACCCCGGCGAGGGGAGUGAAAAAGAACCUGAAACCGUGUACGUACAAGCAGUGGGAGCCUCUUUUAUGGGGUGACUGCGUACCUUUUGUAUAAUGGGUCAGCGACUUAUAUUCUGUAGCAAGGUUAACCGAAUAGGGGAGCCGAAGGGAAACCGAGUCUUAACUGGGCGUUAAGUUGCAGGGUAUAGACCCGAAACCCGGUGAUCUAGCCAUGGGCAGGUUGAAGGUUGGGUAACACUAACUGGAGGACCGAACCGACUAAUGUUGAAAAAUUAGCGGAUGACUUGUGGCUGGGGGUGAAAGGCCAAUCAAACCGGGAGAUAGCUGGUUCUCCCCGAAAGCUAUUUAGGUAGCGCCUCGUGAAUUCAUCUCCGGGGGUAGAGCACUGUUUCGGCAAGGGGGUCAUCCCGACUUACCAACCCGAUGCAAACUGCGAAUACCGGAGAAUGUUAUCACGGGAGACACACGGCGGGUGCUAACGUCCGUCGUGAAGAGGGAAACAACCCAGACCGCCAGCUAAGGUCCCAAAGUCAUGGUUAAGUGGGAAACGAUGUGGGAAGGCCCAGACAGCCAGGAUGUUGGCUUAGAAGCAGCCAUCAUUUAAAGAAAGCGUAAUAGCUCACUGGUCGAGUCGGCCUGCGCGGAAGAUGUAACGGGGCUAAACCAUGCACCGAAGCUGCGGCAGCGACACUAUGUGUUGUUGGGUAGGGGAGCGUUCUGUAAGCCUGUGAAGGUGUGCUGUGAGGCAUGCUGGAGGUAUCAGAAGUGCGAAUGCUGACAUAAGUAACGAUAAAGCGGGUGAAAAGCCCGCUCGCCGGAAGACCAAGGGUUCCUGUCCAACGUUAAUCGGGGCAGGGUGAGUCGACCCCUAAGGCGAGGCCGAAAGGCGUAGUCGAUGGGAAACAGGUUAAUAUUCCUGUACUUGGUGUUACUGCGAAGGGGGGACGGAGAAGGCUAUGUUGGCCGGGCGACGGUUGUCCCGGUUUAAGCGUGUAGGCUGGUUUUCCAGGCAAAUCCGGAAAAUCAAGGCUGAGGCGUGAUGACGAGGCACUACGGUGCUGAAGCAACAAAUGCCCUGCUUCCAGGAAAAGCCUCUAAGCAUCAGGUAACAUCAAAUCGUACCCCAAACCGACACAGGUGGUCAGGUAGAGAAUACCAAGGCGCUUGAGAGAACUCGGGUGAAGGAACUAGGCAAAAUGGUGCCGUAACUUCGGGAGAAGGCACGCUGAUAUGUAGGUGAAGCGACUUGCUCGUGGAGCUGAAAUCAGUCGAAGAUACCAGCUGGCUGCAACUGUUUAUUAAAAACACAGCACUGUGCAAACACGAAAGUGGACGUAUACGGUGUGACGCCUGCCCGGUGCCGGAAGGUUAAUUGAUGGGGUCAGCGCAAGCGAAGCUCUUGAUCGAAGCCCCGGUAAACGGCGGCCGUAACUAUAACGGUCCUAAGGUAGCGAAAUUCCUUGUCGGGUAAGUUCCGACCUGCACGAAUGGCGUAAUGAUGGCCAGGCUGUCUCCACCCGAGACUCAGUGAAAUUGAACUCGCUGUGAAGAUGCAGUGUACCCGCGGCAAGACGGAAAGACCCCGUGAACCUUUACUAUAGCUUGACACUGAACAUUGAGCCUUGAUGUGUAGGAUAGGUGGGAGGCUUAGAAGUGUGGACGCCAGUCUGCAUGGAGCCGACCUUGAAAUACCACCCUUUAAUGUUUGAUGUUCUAACGUUGACCCGUGAUCCGGGUUGCGGACAGUGUCUGGUGGGUAGUUUGACUGGGGCGGUCUCCUCCUAAAGAGUAACGGAGGAGCACGAAGGUUGGCUAAUCCUGGUCGGACAUCAGGAGGUUAGUGCAAUGGCAUAAGCCAGCUUGACUGCGAGCGUGACGGCGCGAGCAGGUGCGAAAGCAGGUCAUAGUGAUCCGGUGGUUCUGAAUGGAAGGGCCAUCGCUCAACGGAUAAAAGGUACUCCGGGGAUAACAGGCUGAUACCGCCCAAGAGUUCAUAUCGACGGCGGUGUUUGGCACCUCGAUGUCGGCUCAUCACAUCCUGGGGCUGAAGUAGGUCCCAAGGGUAUGGCUGUUCGCCAUUUAAAGUGGUACGCGAGCUGGGUUUAGAACGUCGUGAGACAGUUCGGUCCCUAUCUGCCGUGGGCGCUGGAGAACUGAGGGGGGCUGCUCCUAGUACGAGAGGACCGGAGUGGACGCAUCACUGGUGUUCGGGUUGUCAUGCCAAUGGCACUGCCCGGUAGCUAAAUGCGGAAGAGAUAAGUGCUGAAAGCAUCUAAGCACGAAACUUGCCCCGAGAUGAGUUCUCCCUGACUCCUUGAGAGUCCUGAAGGAACGUUGAAGACGACGACGUUGAUAGGCCGGGUGUGUAAGCGCAGCGAUGCGUUGAGCUAACCGGUACUAAUGAACCGUGAGGCUUAACCUUACAACGCCGAAGCUGUU
RNAcentral lists this ribosomal RNA (2929 nucleotides) under Escherichia coli. RNAcentral's name for it is "23S ribosomal RNA". It matches the Rfam family "Bacterial large subunit ribosomal RNA". Lineage: Bacteria; Pseudomonadati; Pseudomonadota; Gammaproteobacteria; Enterobacterales; Enterobacteriaceae. The record is from RNAcentral.